GACGAACGCUGGCGGCGUGCUUAACACAUGCAAGUCGAACGCGAAAGUCCUUGGGCGAGUAGAGUGGCGGACGGGUGAGUAAUGCGUGGGAAUCUACCUCGUAGUGGGGGACAACCCGGGGAAACUCGGGCUAAUACCGCAUACGUUCUAUGGAAGAAAGGGGGCCUCUGCUUGCAAGCUCUCGCUAUGGGAUGAGCCCACGUCCGAUUAGCUUGUUGGUGGGGUAAAAGCCCACCAAGGCGACGAUCAGUAGCUGGUCUGAGAGGACGAUCAGCCACACUGGGACUGAGACACGGCCCAGACUCCUACGGGAGGCAGCAGUGGGGAAUUUUGGACAAUGGGGGGCAACCCUGAUCCAGCAAUGCCGCGUGAGUGAAGAAGGCCUCGGUGUAAGACUCUUUG
This 402-nucleotide ribosomal RNA is filed under the name uncultured bacterium. Its description in RNAcentral is "bacterial SSU rRNA". It matches the Rfam family "Bacterial small subunit ribosomal RNA", at positions 28 to 437 of the family's 1533-position model. The record is from RNAcentral.